AAUUGGACUCAACGCCGGGAAGCUUACCGGAUAAGACAGCGGAAUGAUUGCCGGGCUGAAGACUCUGCAUGACCAGCUGAGAGGAGGUGCAUGGCCGUCGUCAGUUCGUACUGUGAAGCAUCCUGUUAAGUCAGGCAACGAGCGAGACCCACGCCAACAGUUGCCAGCAUGGUCUCCGGACUGAUGGGGACACUGUUGGGACCGCCUCUGCUAAAGAGGAGGAAGGAAUGGGCAACGGUAGGUCAGCAUGCCCCGAAUUAUCCGGGCUACACGCGGGCUACAAUGGGCAGGACAAUGGGUAUCGACACCGAAAGGUGAAGGCAAUCUCCUAAACCUGUCCUUAGUUCGGAUUGUGGGCUGCAACUCGCCCACAUGAAGCUGGAAUCCGUAGUAAUCGCGUUUCAAAAUAACGCGGUGAAUGUGUCCCUGCUCCUU
This 435-nucleotide ribosomal RNA is filed under the name uncultured Methanoculleus sp. RNAcentral's name for it is "bacterial SSU rRNA". It matches the Rfam family "Archaeal small subunit ribosomal RNA", at positions 904 to 1338 of the family's 1478-position model. The record is from RNAcentral. Lineage: Archaea; Methanobacteriati; Methanobacteriota; Methanomicrobia; Methanomicrobiales; Methanomicrobiaceae.